AGUAAAGGAUGAUAAUUUCUGUUAUUUUGUUAACUCAUAUUCAGUGUAACUUUGUCUAAUAAAUUGAAUAAUACUUAACGUUCAAUAAAUAUCGAUCAAAAGUGGAUUUUGUCUAUCAACUAUCAACACCCCCUUUUUUGUCAUCAUAGACACUAGAACACUGGGUCUAUGAUUUAUAGAUGAUUAAUACACGUUGUAUUUAAUGAGUAUCUCCACAACGAGUACCGCCGUUCCUUCAUAGAGAUUCAUCACAAAUUCUGCGAUUUGAUGGAAUAUGACAAAUUCAUCGGACCUAUGGUCAAAAGCAUCGGAUUGUUCUGUCCGUUGCCAGUUCGAACACUACGAAUCACCAACUUUUCCUUCCCCCUGGACAAGUUUCCUAACGUGUUUCCAUUUGAGAAAUGUCGUAUUGACUCAGAACUAACAGUCACAGCUACAAACGAAUCCAUGAUCAUAAUGUAUCACUACGUUACUUUUAAAAAUAUGAAAAAAACAUAAAUGUAAAAUAAACCAUGACUCUGUAAAAGUA
Danaus plexippus (monarch butterfly) is the source of this 529-nucleotide RNA transcript. RefSeq lists it as uncharacterized. The record is from RefSeq and is a predicted model, not a curated record. NCBI's taxonomy places the organism in Eukaryota, Metazoa, Arthropoda, Insecta, Lepidoptera, Nymphalidae. The transcript has 3 exons.